Molecule: ribosomal RNA, 253 nt
Filed under: uncultured bacterium
Lineage: Bacteria
Description: partial 16S ribosomal RNA
Rfam family: Bacterial small subunit ribosomal RNA
Source: RNAcentral
UACGGAGGAUGCAAGCGUUAUCCGGAAUGAUUGGGCGUAAAGCGUCCGCAGGUGGCUGUGUAAGUCUGCUGUUAAAGAGUGAGGCUCAACCUCAUAAGAGCAGUGGAAACUACACAGCUAGAGUGCGUUCGGGGCAGAGGGAAUUCCUGGUGUAGCGGUGAAAUGCGUAGAGAUCAGGAAGAACACCGGUGGCGAAGGCGGCAUCCUGGACCGGCAUUGACGCUGAGGAGCGAAAGCCAGGGGAGCAAACGGG